Molecule: transfer RNA, 74 nt
Organism: Oleispira antarctica
Lineage: Bacteria; Pseudomonadati; Pseudomonadota; Gammaproteobacteria; Oceanospirillales; Oceanospirillaceae
Rfam family: tRNA
About the family: Transfer RNA (tRNA) molecules are approximately 80 nucleotides in length.
Source: Rfam
CGGGAUAUAGCGCAGUCUGGUAGCGCGCCUGCUUUGGGAGCAGGAUGUCGGGAGUUCGAAUCUCUCUAUCCCGA